GCCAUGAGAAAACUGUUUCUUGUGGAGAAGUCUCCAUGGCAUGGCAAGAGAAAAUUCCUCUCCCUACAAGAACUGAUGGAAGACUAUUGUAGAAGCGAUUUUGCUAUGAAAGCAACAGUGGCUAUCAGAAGUGUCUGCUCUCCCUUGCCAACACCUCCUGAUGACUCAAUGGCUCACCACUAAGUUUCAUGCAUGAGCAAUAAGGACUCAGAGAUUAUGUUUUUCAUCCAGAGCCUCCACCCACAUGGAAUGGCAAUAUGCUGUCACCAUCAGUACACCUGCAUGGAGGACAGAAGAAGAGCAGCUCCCUUCUGUGAGUCACCAUGCUCCCAUCUGAAACAUUCAGUAUGAUUAGCAAGGAGUCUUGUAAGUAUGCUUUUCCUCCAUCUGGCAGUUUGAUCCAUGUUCCCCUGUCAUAAUUUUUGAUGGAUUCAUCUCACACAUAAUGCAAGACUGUCUCACGGUUGUUUAAAAAGCGAGGCAGGUGCUAGAAUUCCAGAGCAGAGACCUUCCCGCCAUGUCUCUGCUGGCUGGUGUUAUCCACUGUGUGCUAGGACGAGCACCUCACCUCACAGCAGUCUCCAUCCCUAUGUUUGCCACGACAGAAACAUUUUUGACAGUAUAAAAGAAAGUGUAUCCAAUGGUGACCACUACCAGAACAAAAGAGCAAGGCUGUGCACUAGCCAGUGUUUUCAUGAGCAAAGCUAGCACCGCCCACACACACUUGUGAGAGAAAGAGGUGUAAAGGUGACGCCAACACUGUUAGGGACAACUACAGUUGAGGGAGGGGUAGAGGUUCAUUUUCAAAUGAAAAGUGGGAGUACAGCUCUCAGAUGAGUCAGUGAGGAAGAGCCCCCGCAGAGGAGUCUCACACCUCUUUACUGCGUUGCAGAACUGAUUCUUGCUGCCUCUUUGCUCCUGUCCUACUUUCUAGGAAAACUGCAAAAGUUCACUGCAUUCUCACAAUGCCCCCAACAGCAAUUCUGAGCAACCUGCACUACUGCAGCACUCAUUAAGCCAUACAAAGAGAAAUCGAAAGAUGACAGACAACGUUUUUCACUCCUCUUUGCAUGAGUAAGAGCUGAUCCUGACUUGCAUGAGGCAGAGAAGGAGCAUAUCUGAGACUUUCUAUGAAUCUCACAAGCAUGUAACAGGAAGGUUUUACAUUUCUGUACAGAAAAUGAUGGUGCAGAGAGAAUAAAGAAGUAAUCUGCAAACUCCAUUUUAGGCCUUCAUUACUGGUUAGAGGACAAAUUCUGUCACCACGACACCAAUACGUACCCGGAGAUGUGCAUUAACAACAUACCCAUCAAGAAUACCACUGAAAAACUUGAGAGCCCAGCCAUUAUAUGGCAUCAUGGUCAGAACUCUAUUACAUCCUCUCCUUUUCAUAGUGUCAGACCAAAAAUUUCAAUGUAAAUAACAUUUUGGCAUCCUUCUUACAGGACCCAACCUGCAGAUGUUCAUCCUACCAGUGGCAAGACACACUAGCCCAUGUCUUGUGAUCCUUCGGAACAGGGUGAUGGGAAAACAACAGCGAACUGGUGAUUUGUUCUGUUGUACCUCGUCCAGUUCACCCUUACUUUCAGAGAAAGGGUUCUCAAGAAGAGAGUGCUUUCAUCUUUUUUUUAUCUUUGCAAAUCCUUGACUUACCAUGUACUAGGAGAGAGGACCAAUUGGACUGUAUUUCCAGGUGAAGACAGUCCUGAUCUGUGGCAACUGCUUUGAGUUCACAAUUCUAAUCUGUCUAUAUGUUAGAUUUUAAUCAAACAUUAGGUAACAUCUGUAUCACUGAAAUUAAGAUCUUUAAAAGCUCAUGAAAAGAACUGGGUUGCAAUUCUUCCAAGUAAAAUUUUAAUAGGCUCUUGUUCUUCCCUCCACUUUAUUUGCACUUGCAAACUUCUAUCUGAGGAAGCUGUAGAAUUGCCAGCACAAAAGGAAGUAUUUCUUACACACUGUACCCAGACUAGUGGGGCUGAUUCUUAAUGAUGACCACAAGUCAGCAUGUUUGCAAGCAGUCCAGAAGCAUCAUUCACUCAUUCAGCUUCCAACACAGGCUGAUUUAUAAAGCAACUCCUGGCUGUUAGGGUAACUUGUCACAGACAGAACCAGUUUACGACCUACCAAGGAUUCCUAAUGUCUAGUGGCACCCUGCUAUUUAUGUAUACUGAGCAUCAGAACUCCUCUGACAUCCUGCCUCUUGGGCACAGGAGUUUCUGGGAGUAAGAUACUGGUAAGUAUUUCUCAGGCAAGACUAGCAGCUCAGCAAGACUCAUCCAUUAUCAGAAAAUAACCUUUACAACGAAAACUUCUUUAAUAGGCUGAUACUGAGAAUGUGCUCAAGAAGGUACAAUAUUGAAGCCUGAAGCAGAAAUUAAGAGGAUGUAGCAAGAUCUCAUUGUAAGGGUCUUAAAUAACAGUGAAGCAUCCUUGUUUCUGCAGGAACCUUCAUUAUGUUAUUUAUCUCAGAGAAAAACCCAAACCAAAAAACCUCUGAUUACAAACAUACCAAGCAACAUUUUGAAAAUGGUCGUUGGACAAUACCAAAAGCUCUGACAGUUUCAGAACUUUGUAUUUUGGGUUCAAAUUUAUUCUUAACCAGACUACAAUUCUAUUUUAAAGCUCUUCCUUUGCUAUAAUACAUUUAAAGAGGUGACAGAGGCCCCUUCAACCUUCACUCUGUGAGAGGAAACAAGCCCAGUUCUUUCAGACACUGUUAAUAAAUCUCUUUUUAAUUCUC
Molecule: long non-coding RNA, 2740 nt
Organism: Parus major (Great Tit)
Lineage: Eukaryota; Metazoa; Chordata; Aves; Passeriformes; Paridae
Exons: 3
Source: RefSeq, a predicted model, not a curated record